UCAGACGAUGCGUCAUGCAUAUCAAUAAGCGGAGGAAAAGAAACUAACAUGGAUUCCCUUAGUAACGGCGAGUGAAGCGGGAAGAGCUCAAAUUUGAAAUCUUCAAGGUUUUACCUUGACGAAUUGUAGUUUAAAGAAGUGUUUUCUGUUGAAGUUUUGGUAAAAGUUCUUUGGAAUAGGACAUCAUAGAGGGUGAGAAUCCCGUAUUUGACCAUUAUCUCCAGCUUUGUGAUACACUUUCAAAGAGUCGGAUUGUUUGGGAAUGCAGUCCAAAAUGGGUGGUAAAUUUCAUCUAAAGCUAAAUACUGGCGAGAGACCGAUAGCGAACAAGUACCGUGAGGGAAAGAUGAAAAGAACUUUGAAAAGAGAGUUAAACAGUACGUGAAAUUGUCAAAAGGGAAGCGUUUGACACCAGUGUUGUUUUCUCGAAAAUCAAUUAAAAAGAGUUGGAUUUUGUGUUGUAUUGACCUUAACAGCUUGCUUCACUCUUUUCCUGCUUUUUUUAAUGCACUUUUCGUUUAACAAGUCAACAUCAGUUUCUUUUGUUGUAAAAGGGUCAUUGGAAGGUGGCUUUCUCUUCGGAGAAAGUGUUUAUAGCCUUUGAUCUCUGCAAUCGGAGAGACUGAGGUCUGCAGCGUAGAUCCUUCGGGGUUAGAUACAUUUGUGCUAGGCUACAGCUUUUCAUAGACAACUUGUUGACUAUGUUUAGUCUUGUAACUUACCCGCUUAUGCUAUUUUACCUACGCUUAGGAUGUUGAUAUGCAUGACUGAUAU
This 774-nucleotide ribosomal RNA is filed under the name uncultured Neocallimastigales. Its description in RNAcentral is "partial large subunit ribosomal RNA". It matches the Rfam family "Eukaryotic large subunit ribosomal RNA", at positions 18 to 635 of the family's 3401-position model. The record is from RNAcentral. Lineage: Eukaryota; Fungi; Neocallimastigomycota; Neocallimastigomycetes; Neocallimastigales.